This 468-nucleotide ribosomal RNA is filed under the name uncultured bacterium. RNAcentral describes it as "partial 16S ribosomal RNA". It matches the Rfam family "Bacterial small subunit ribosomal RNA", at positions 28 to 507 of the family's 1533-position model. The record is from RNAcentral.
GACGAACGCUGGCGGCGUGCUUAACACAUGCAAGUCGAACGGUAAGGCCCUGCAUUUGUGGGGUGCUCGAGUGGCGAACGGGUGAGUAUCACGUGAGUAACCUGCGCUUUACUUUGGGAUAACUUCAGGAAACUGGGGCUAAUAUCCGACAUAAACUCCUUCUACAUGGUGUGUGUUGGAAAGUUGCGGCGUUUUGGGAUGGACUCGCGGCUUAUCAGCGUGUUGGUGGGGUAGUGGGUUACCAAGGCUUUGACGGGUAGCCGGCCUGAGAGGGUGACCGGCCACAAUGGGACUGAGAUACGGCCCAGACUCCUACGGGAGCCAGCAGUGGGGAAUAGUGCAAGAUGGGCGGAAGCCUGAUGCAGCAACGCCGCGUGCGAGAUGACGGCCUUCGGGUUGUAACCCGCUUUAGCCUGUGAAGAAGAGUGAGUGACGGUAAUGAGUAAAGAAGCGACGGCUAACUACGCG